RNAcentral lists this long non-coding RNA (913 nucleotides) under Fukomys damarensis (Damara mole-rat). Its description in RNAcentral is "lncRNA (ENSFDAG00000021896.1)". Lineage: Eukaryota; Metazoa; Chordata; Mammalia; Rodentia; Bathyergidae. The record is from RNAcentral.
CGGUGGGCGCGCGCUCGCGCUGCGGCCCACGUGACCCGUACGCAGGACAGAGGCUCCCACGUGACCGGUAGGGCGGCGGGGUAGGUGGAGGGAUUAACUGUGCGAGGUAACGGUGACCACUGGAAGCCUUUGGGACGUUUGCUGCUGCUGUUCUCCACCAGGGGACGAGGAGGCGAACUAGAGGGCGGAAAGCGCUUCCGAUGCUUUCAGUGUUUUACACGUUCUCCACUCCGUUAGGGAAGUACUUUGUAAAGUUCCUAAGUAUUGACUUUCCCCAACCGCCAUGUUGGUUCUAGAGGGAGCUCGCGAGAGGCUGUGGGCUUUGUUCGCGAGAUCUCCCGAUUCUCGCGGGACUUUGUUGGCAGAGCAGUUCUCCUGGAUGGCGGAGCCGGGGGGUUCCGGGGGCCUGGGACCCGCAGCUCUUUGGACCAGAUACCAAGUUGUGCUAGUACAACCAUACAAAUAAUUAACACCUGAAGUUUCAGUGUAACAUGGACGCUAACAGUGAUGACAGAUAAAUACAGACACUUGGGAAUCAGAUACUAGGCGAAACACUCCCUAAAAGGUAAGAAAAAAAAUGUAAUCUUAAUUAAGGCCAAGUGGGAUCUAGUCAGAAGUAAUUGACUGAAGUUUCUUUUUCAGGCUUUAAGAAACACAUCUGCAGGAACCUGCCUGUCUUAAAACUGGUAGAACUCAGCUGUAAGUAUCAGUUCUUCUGUGUACACAGCAGUUGCAGAGGAAGUUCUUGUAGUGAGCCCUGAUGAAGUAGAGCGGUGAUGCGACCAGCUAGCACUUGCCAGAGUGCUAGAAAGUGUGCAUCCGCAUCUGUGGCCAGAGGCACACGUAGUUGGGAACCUUCCUUACUGCUCAUGAAUAACACCACCAUCACGCACUAUAGGUUGUACCCUUUCAC